RNAcentral lists this transfer RNA (80 nucleotides) under Acidobacteriota bacterium. RNAcentral describes it as "Acidobacteria bacterium tRNA-Pro". It matches the Rfam family "tRNA". Rfam says of the family: Transfer RNA (tRNA) molecules are approximately 80 nucleotides in length. Their secondary structure includes four short double-helical elements and three loops (D, anti-codon, and T loops). Further hydrogen bonds mediate the characteristic L-shaped molecular structure. tRNAs have two regions of fundamental functional importance: the anti-codon, which is responsible for specific mRNA codon recognition, and the 3' end, to which the tRNAs corresponding amino acid is attached (by aminoacyl-tRNA synthetases). tRNAs cope with the degeneracy of the genetic code in two manners: having more than one tRNA (with a specific anti-codon) for a particular amino acid; and 'wobble' base-pairing, i.e. permitting non-standard base-pairing at the 3rd anti-codon position. RNAcentral also lists the same sequence under 1 other name. The record is from RNAcentral. Lineage: Bacteria; Pseudomonadati; Acidobacteriota.
GGGGCGGUGGUGCAAGGAGCACGGCGUAGUCGGUCUCCGAGGUUGCGCAGAUGCAGGUUCGAAUCCUGCCCGUUCCACCA